CGCCUCUAUCAAGUGGUAUCAGAUUUCCAGGUUGCUCGGUGAGAUUUUACAGUUUUUCGUAGUUUAGAUCGAGUUUGUUCUUCAUACCUAAAGUCCACGAAAAAGCCACAAAAAAAAUUAGGGUUAGUUCAUCAUAUCCGAACCAAUCUGAGCCUUUGCAUAAUCUUUUUAGGGUUUUGCUUUGUUGAAUUUGCGGUUGCAUCGUCGUGUCUAGUUGCUGGUCUUAGAGUCUAGUCUUUUAGAGUUUCGAGUUCUGGUCAUAAGUUGUCACGCCGCCCCGCACCAUCAUCAUCGCCCCUGCCAUCUACCACCACCGCUUAUCCGCCACCGCUCCGAAUCCGUAUCCAUAUACCACCACCAAUCCGUGUCCAUAUACCAUCACCGAUCCAUAUCCAUAUACUACCACCGCUACCACCACCGCUGCCAUAUACCACCACCAUAUAUCCACCACCAAUCCGAGUUCCUUGCAUAUUAGGUUUGUUUUCGAGAUCCAUCUAGAUUCCGAUUCGUGUUUCCUUGCCGGAGUAGGUUUCGGAAAAAAAAGAAAAAGAAAAAAAAAGAAAAAAAAAGAUAGAAAAAAAAAGAAAAAAAAGAGAGAAGAAAAAAACUGGAUCUAUCUAGAAUCAAUCUGGAAUUGGGUGAUUCUUUUUGCAUUGGAAAGCUUGAGUUAGUAGCAUUCUUUGAAAGAAUUUAUCAGAAAAUUGUCUCAAACUUUUCAAGAGGAAAGUUGGAGAGAGAGUUGUUGUAUAUCCUGCUUGGCAGUUGUUUUUCAUCAUUAUCUUCACUGCCGUUGUGAUCUUCACUUAUAUCUUGCUGUCAAGAGCUACUUAGUAUCCUUCAUUGAUGCUAGUUGUGCUACGCCGUGACCUUAUUAGUGUUCUAGGCUCGCGUCUCUAGUCCGGUCUAGCCUAGGACCAGCACAGUACCGUCGUUGAGCGUUUAUUCAACAUUGCAUCUUUGAAUUGAUUAUUGCUAAUCUUUUGCUACCAUAUAUAGCCAACCCAGCUCCACAUAUUUCUACACCGUGUAUACGUACGCUCCCCUGGCAAUCGCUUUACUCAAUAUUCGGAGUUACUUGACACCGCUGGUUGCCGAUCACCGCCUGCUGCAUGGUAAGAACUUGUAAGACAUUGAUAUUUGCGUUACUGUGAGCGUUUUACCACCACAUCCUAGUAGUUAUAGGAACAUUAUUUUUGGGUUUUGUUUCUUGUUCUACUAAUCAUGACAGGAUCCAGAGUCAAUUCAUGGGCUUUGUCGAUCGCGGGAGACGUGCGACCACCUUUGCAAAUACCACAACCGUCACGAGAGGUGCACAAACAUCCAAAUGCACAUGAUCAGGUUAAUGUAUCUAUACCACCAUUUAAUGGCUGUUUUAAACCUGCUUUAUAUAUUGAAUGGGAGUUCGACAUAAAAAAUAUAUUUGCUUCCCAUAAUUUCGAUGAACAUAAAAAGGUUAAGGUUGCGGUUUGUUCUUUCACUGGUUAUGCUUUGGUUUGGUGGAGUGAAUAUUGUCGGUUACACCCUGAUUAUAUACCUACUACUUGGGAUGAUUUGAAACUUGCCAUGCGACAUACUUUCGUCCCUGCUUAUUAUACUCGUGACAUGAUUAAGAAGUUGCAACACUUAAAACAAGGUAGUGAAACUGUAACAAAAUAUUAUGAUGAUUUACAAACUACCUUGUUGCAUUCCUCUUUAGAAGAAAGUGAAGAUGAUUUUAUGGAUAGAUUUUGGGGAGGGUUAAACCAUGAUAUUCAAGAGAUACUAAUUCAUGAAGAGUGUUAUCCUAUGGACCAUUUGUUUCAUCUUGCUUGCAAAGCUGAACAGGAAAUAAAACGACGUGUUGCCCACGAGGAGAACAAGCGCACGGUGCACAUUCCAAGAGUUGAUAUGAUUGUUCCUUCAACUACUAGGCAUACUAUGACAACCACAUCCGUUGUUGUCAGGACUACAUCACCUCCACCAUGUGACACAUCGCCCCCGAGAGUGGCUACAUCAUCUGAGUUGAUCAUAAGAGGUAAUGACAAAGGUACUGAUCUUCCAUCUCUACAUGAGAAUGAUGAAUGCCUUGUCAAUUUGAAUGCACCAUCUGAUGAGCUACCCACUACUUUGAUCACACCACCUAUUUUAGAGGACUACGUUGAUAAUUUGACUUUGCCAUGUGAUCAAACAACUGAAAUACCAACAAUUUUGAGUGCACCCAUUGAAUUAACUAUUGAUGCAAAAGAACCAAUGUUUAAUCAUUUUGAUAUGACCUCUAAUCUUGGUGAUGAUUCUGUGUUGAAUGACUUAUUGCAUGUUUGCUUAUUUAAGCAUGUUGUAGCAUGUAAUUUUGAUGCAAGUAAGGUUUAUUCACCAAUGUUGGGAUGGUUUAAUGAUGAACAUUAUCAAUCUUUUGAAAUGAAUAAGACCUUCACUUAUAUGUGCAAACUGAGUUGCAAUAUUUUCAUGCCUUCUACUUCUUGUGCUAAUUUUUUGGCUUUAGAUUUUAUGAACUAUGCAAGUUACUCAUCUAUUCAUGUGUCAUAUAUGCAAAAAUCAAGGGAAGUAAAACUGGAUGACAUAUACAUAUACAACAUGUACACCUUGUCUCUUUUGUUAGCCACAUUUUAGAUUAAGCAAUGCCGAGGACGGCUUUAUUUUCAAGAAGGGGAGGAUGAUGAGGACAUGACUACCUUGGAUAUGACCAAAAAUAUUGCAUAUAUGCAUAUUUGUCAGGUGAUUUCUAGUGCAAACUAUUCAAUAAUCUAUUUAUGUUAUCCAGAACAAAAAUACUUCACACACUUUUGUGUUUUGUCUAAUUGCAGGUGUAUGGGACAUUUGUACAAUCCACAUAUGAAGAUAAGGAAGAAAGAGAUGUUUAUUUGCUGUCCAAAAAGUUCUCUCACGUCAGUUUUGGCCCAAGAGAAGAUAGAGUCCAAGUCUCUCAUGUUCUGGAUUCAGAUUCGGACUGCACAGACAUACCUGACUCAAAACGCACACAAGUUUUUCAUACGGACUCCGAAUUGGGUGAUUCUUUUUUUGUUGGAAACUAGAUUUCGUGCACUUUCCAACCCAAUUGAAAUCACCUUCAAAUUCGUCCGGAGCAUUGAGUUGUGGACGAAACAAUCUGAUGCUGCAGCAGAAUCCGAGUCAAACUACAAGUCCAAAGGUGUUACAUCACCUCCACUUGGGCCCAUUGGCCUUGUACGACCUAGAUUUAGUUUUAGGCUGCCUUGGGACGUCCUCCCACCUCCUUGGCCGCCACCCCUUGCUCCUAUAUAAGUAGAUCCAUCUAGUAGCUUUUCCUUGGGAUUUGUUUAGUUAAAAGUUAGCCAUUGCAACUUCGUGUGCUUCGUUUGUGUCCAACGACCAGACCAAGACCACUUUUCGGAUCCCCACCAUUAUCAAUACUUCAUACAUAUUCGCGAUAUUCAGAUUGCUUUUAUCAUAUUCUUGCUUGUUCUUCGAUUGCUUGCAGGAAUAGACCUUCGUGGUCAGGUUGAUCGUGCUCCGGCGUGGUCAAUAACCUCUCGGAGUUGGUUUAGCGAUUGCUAAGGCACAAUGUCGUUGCACGUUUGUAGUCGGAUCGUCAAAGUCGUCUCCACCAAAUCGAUAGUUAUCAUCUCAUCGAAAGAUCGGGACACCCCGCCUCUAUCACCUUGGUAUGGAACAAAUUGUGCCUCUGAUUUUGCUCAGCUUGUGUGACCGGCACACUCAAAACACGUUGAGCAACUAAACAUUCAUACCUGUCAGCGUCUUCAGGAGCCAUGUAUUGCGUCUCAUGAUCAGAAUCAUCUCCACCAUGUUCUUCACGUGUAAUAAGAGCCAAUGUCUCCUCAUCAUAGUCACUAGCGGACUCAUAUCCACCAUCCGCGGUAGCAAUCAUCACACGCGGAGAUUUGCAUUCUCUCGCAUAAUGACCUCCUCCCUUACAACGACGACAAAUAAUAUCACUUGUGUGCCCUGUUGAUGCCCUGGAAGAAGAAGAACUCUGUGCAGGCCCGGCAGGUGUGCUCUUGGCAGAUAAUGGUGGUUGUUCCUGUUUUCUUGUAUCACAGCUGUAGGAGGCACCUGAUUGAGGUGCUGGUGCAGUUGAAGUAGAAGAUGCACGCGGCGUCCAUGAGGAAGGUCGGCCUGCAGAAAAGUUAGUUCGCGCCAAUGCUUGUCGAUCCUGCACUUCACGUUCAGCUUUACAAGCAAGAUGGAAUAAACGAGUGAUAUUAGUAUACUCCUUAUAGUCUAGAAUGGUCUGAAUCUCUCUAUUUAAUCCACCCAGAAAACGUGCAAGCAUAGCUUCAUUCUCCUCAACAAUACCACAUCGAAUCAUGCCAGUUUGUAAUUCCUGAUAAUAUUCUUCUACAGAAUUUUUUCCUUGUCUUAAACGCUGCAAUUUUUGAAGCAAUUCACGAUGAUAAUAUGGUGGAACCCAACGCGUACGCAUAGCGGUUUUCAAAGCAGCCCAAGUAGUUGGAAUAGGAUAUAAUCUACAAUGUUCAGACCACCAGACACAUGCAAAACUAGUGAAAGCACAAACAGCAGCAGCAACCCGUCUCUCCUCGGGAUAUUGUAAACAUGUAAAACGUUGUUCAGUUUCUAACUCCCAAGUAAGAUAUAUAUCAGGAACAUAUCUACCCUCAAAUGGUGGAAUAUUCAAUUUCAGUUUAGGAAUAUUGAUGAGGACAUCAAUACCAUUGUUACACCCACAGCCCCUAUUGCUACAUAUACGGGACCAAUUACUAGAGCUCGCGCACGCCAAUUAAAUUAUCAGGUACUUUCGUUUCUUGGUAAUGAUUCUAAUGUUCAUGAGAAUAUGAUGCUGCCUAAAUUGGAUACAUUUGUUUUGCUUACAAAUGAAGGGCCUAGCUUGGAGAAGGAUGAACAUUGGAGCAAGAACAAGCAUGGAGAUGAUGCCAUGCGCAAGGGGAACAAGAACAGAGUUACAAGUGAUGAUUUCAGGACUUUGAAGCCACCAUAAUGGGUCCAUGAAGCCAUGGACGAAAUAUACAAGAUGCCACUUCAUAAAUUUCGUCCCGAGGCUAUUUUAGGUGCUGCGUCACCUUAUUAUUGGGCCAGGCCCAUGUAAUUUCGAAAUACAUAAGUAUAGGCUAUUUUUAGAGUCCGUAUGUGUGGGGAAACAAGAGAUAGGGUUGAUUUCGGACCCCUCCACCAAGGGCCACGAAAUUCCCCCCUCUUCCUCCAUAUAUACAGCCCUUAGGGCAUCGUUUAGACUUUGGGUUUUGUUUAGAUUAAAAGUUCGCCAUAGCUGCAACUUCGCGUACUUCGUUUGUGUUCAACGACCAGACAAAGGCGUCACAGAACCCCACCUUGAUCAAUAAAGCUUUCAUCUUAUAUUCGCAAUAUCCAGAUUGCAAUCUUAGUUUCUUGCUUGUUCUUCGUUUGCUCGCAGGAAACGGACCCUCGUGGUCAGGUUGAUCGUGCUCCGGCGUGGUCAAUAACCUCUCGGAGUUGGUUUAGCGAUUGCUAAGGCGCGACAUCCUCGCACGUUUGAUGAGGACAUGACUACCUUGGAUAUGACCAAAAAUAUUGCAUAUAUGCAUAUUUGUCAGGUGAUUUCUAGUGCAAACUAUUCAAUAAUCUAUUUAUGUUAUCCAGAACAAAAAUACUUCACACACUUUUGUGUUUUGUCUAAUUGCAGGUGUAUGGGACAUUUGUACAAUCCACAUAUGAAGAUAAGGAAGAAAGAGAUGUUUAUUUGCUGUCCAAAAAGUUCUCUCACGUCACUUUUGGCCCAAGAGAAGAUAGAGUCCAAGUCUCUCACGUUCUGGAUUCAAAUUCGGACUGCACAGACAUACCUGACUCAAAACGCACACAAGUUUUUCAUACGGACUCCGAAUUGGGUGAUUCUUUUUUUGUUGGAAACUAGAUUUCGUGCACUUUCCAACCCAAUUGGAAUCACCUUCAAAUUCGUCCGGAGCAUUGAGUUGUGGACGAAACAAUCUGAUGCUGCAGCAGAAUCCGAGUCAAACUACAAGUCCAAAGGUGUUACAUCACCUCCACUUGGGCCCAUUGGCCUUGUACGACCUAGAUUUAAUUUUAGGCUGCCUUGGGACGUCCUCCCACCUCCUUGGCCGCCACCCCUUGAUCCUAUAUAAGUAGAUCCAUCUAGUAGCUUUUUCCUUGGGAUUUGUUUAGUUAAAAGUUAGCCAUUGCAACUUCGUGUACUUCGUUUGUGUCCAACAACCAGACCAAGACCGCUUCCGGAUCCCCACCAUUAUCAAUACUUCAUAUAUAUUUGCAAUAUUCAGAUUGCUUUAUCAUAUUCUUGCUCGUUCUUCGAUUGCUUGCAGGAAUAGACCUUCGUGGUCAGGCUGACCGUGCUUCCAGCAUCGUCAGUAACCUCAGGAGAUUGGUUUAGCGAUUGCUAAGGCGCAACGUCGUUCACGUUUGUAGUCGUUUCGUCAAAGUCGUCUCCACCAAAUCGAUAGUUAUCAUCUCAUCGAAAGAUCGGGACCCUCGCCUCUAUCAAGUGGUAUCAGUUUUCAGGUUGCUCGGUGAGAUUUUACAAUUUUUCAUAGUUUAGAUCGCAUCUGUCAUUCAUACCUAUAGUCCAUGAAAAAGCCACAAAAAAAAGUUAGAUCUGUUCAUCCUUUAUCCAAGCCAGUCUGAGCCUUUGCAAUUUUCUAUUCGUUGCUUGCAUAGUUGAAUUAUCGGUUGCAUCGUCGUGUCAGUUGCUGGUCUUAGUGUCUAGUUCCUUUAGAGUUUCGAGUUCUGUUCACAUUAGUCACGCCGCCGCUGCAUCAUUAUCCCUUCCGCUGUCCACCAUCCCAUCUAUUAAUUUCCACCACGUGCUACGCACUGUUCAUUGUCAUAAUCAUAGUUGAGGUCAUUCACAUCUUCGCUUGAUCCAAUCUGCAUUUUAUCUAGUUUGUCUUGGAA
RNAcentral lists this long non-coding RNA (6876 nucleotides) under Triticum aestivum (bread wheat). RNAcentral's name for it is "long non-coding RNA (TAES_LNC018885)". The record is from RNAcentral. Lineage: Eukaryota; Viridiplantae; Streptophyta; Magnoliopsida; Poales; Poaceae.